RNAcentral lists this ribosomal RNA (260 nucleotides) under uncultured bacterium. RNAcentral describes it as "partial 16S ribosomal RNA". It matches the Rfam family "Bacterial small subunit ribosomal RNA", at positions 334 to 586 of the family's 1533-position model. The record is from RNAcentral.
AGUACCUACGGGAGGCAGCAGUAGGGAAUCUUCCACAAUGGACGAAAGUCUGAUGGAGCAACGCCGCGUGAGUGAAGAAGGGUUUCGGCUCGUAAAGCUCUGUUGGGAGUGAAGAAAGAUAGAGGUAGUAACUGGCCUUUAUUUGACGGUAAUUACUUAGAAAGUCACGGCUAACUACGUGCCAGCAGCCGCGGUAAUACGUAGGUGGCAAGCGGUUUCCGGGUUUAUUGGGCGUAAAGCGAGUGAAGGCGGGUCCAUAA